Molecule: ribosomal RNA, 550 nt
Filed under: Penicillium citrinum
Lineage: Eukaryota; Fungi; Ascomycota; Eurotiomycetes; Eurotiales; Aspergillaceae
Description: LSU rRNA
Rfam family: Eukaryotic large subunit ribosomal RNA
Source: RNAcentral
GAAGCGGCAAGAGCUCAAAUUUGAAAGCUGGCCCCCUCGGGGUCCGCAUUGUAAUUUGCAGAGGAUGCUUCGGGAACGGCCCCCAUCUAAGUGCCCUGGAACGGGCCGUCAUAGAGGGUGAGAAUCCCGUCUGGGAUGGGGUGGCCGCGCCCGUGUGAAGCUCCUUCGACGAGUCGAGUUGUUUGGGAAUGCAGCUCUAAUUGGGUGGUAAAUUUCAUCUAAAGCUAAAUAUUGGCCGGAGACCGAUAGCGCACAAGUAGAGUGAUCGAAAGAUGAAAAGCACUUUGAAAAGAGAGUUAAACAGCACGUGAAAUUGUUGAAAGGGAAGCGCUUGCGACCAGACUCGCCCGCGGGGUUCAGCCGGCACUCGUGCCGGUGUACUUCCCCGCGGGCGGGCCAGCGUCGGUUUGGGCGGCCGGUCAAAGGCCUCUGGAAGGUAACGCCUCUCGGGGCGUCUUAUAGCCAGGGGUGCCAUGCGGCCUGCCCGGACCGAGGAACGCGCUUCGGCUCGGACGCUGGCAUAAUGGUCGUAAGCGACCCGUCUUGAAAC